Molecule: non-coding RNA, 92 nt
Filed under: Brochothrix campestris FSL F6-1037
Lineage: Bacteria; Bacillati; Bacillota; Bacilli; Caryophanales; Listeriaceae
Source: RNAcentral
AAUUACCGUUGUUGUUCGCGUUAAUCCGUCGAGAUAGAACGUUUCAGACUUUAGCGUGGAAUGAAACGAUUCGAUUGGGGCAUUAUCAGCGG